UACGUAGGAGGCAAGCGUUGUCCGGAAUCACUGGGCGUAAAGCGCGUGUAGGUGGAGCAGGAAGUCUGCUGUGAAAGCGCCUGGCUUAACCGGGCGAGGUCGGUGGAAACUCCUGGUCUAGAGGCCGGUAGAGGGGGGGUGGAAUUCCGGGUGUAGUGGUGAAAUGCGUAGAGAUCCGGAGGAACACCCGUGGCGAAGGCGGCCCCCCUGGGCC
This 214-nucleotide ribosomal RNA is filed under the name uncultured bacterium. RNAcentral's name for it is "partial 16S ribosomal RNA". It matches the Rfam family "Bacterial small subunit ribosomal RNA", at positions 524 to 735 of the family's 1533-position model. The record is from RNAcentral.